This 1464-nucleotide ribosomal RNA is filed under the name Lactiplantibacillus plantarum subsp. plantarum. RNAcentral's name for it is "bacterial SSU rRNA". It matches the Rfam family "Bacterial small subunit ribosomal RNA". The record is from RNAcentral. Lineage: Bacteria; Bacillati; Bacillota; Bacilli; Lactobacillales; Lactobacillaceae.
CGGCGUCUAUACAUGCAAGUCGAACGAACUCUGGUAUUGAUUGGUGCUUGCAUCAUGAUUUACAUUUGAGUGAGUGGCGAACUGGUGAGUAACACGUGGGAAACCUGCCCAGAAGCGGGGGAUAACACCUGGAAACAGAUGCUAAUACCGCAUAACAACUUGGACCGCAUGGUCCGAGCUUGAAAGAUGGCUUCGGCUAUCACUUUUGGAUGGUCCCGCGGCGUAUUAGCUAGAUGGUGGGGUAACGGCUCACCAUGGCAAUGAUACGUAGCCGACCUGAGAGGGUAAUCGGCCACAUUGGGACUGAGACACGGCCCAAACUCCUACGGGAGGCAGCAGUAGGGAAUCUUCCACAAUGGACGAAAGUCUGAUGGAGCAACGCCGCGUGAGUGAAGAAGGGUUUCGGCUCGUAAAACUCUGUUGUUAAAGAAGAACAUAUCUGAGAGUAACUGUUCAGGUAUUGACGGUAUUUAACCAGAAAGCCACGGCUAACUACGUGCCAGCAGCCGCGGUAAUACGUAGGUGGCAAGCGUUGUCCGGAUUUAUUGGGCGUAAAGCGAGCGCAGGCGGUUUUUUAAGUCUGAUGUGAAAGCCUUCGGCUCAACCGAAGAAGUGCAUCGGAAACUGGGAAACUUGAGUGCAGAAGAGGACAGUGGAACUCCAUGUGUAGCGGUGAAAUGCGUAGAUAUAUGGAAGAACACCAGUGGCGAAGGCGGCUGUCUGGUCUGUAACUGACGCUGAGGCUCGAAAGUAUGGGUAGCAAACAGGAUUAGAUACCCUGGUAGUCCAUACCGUAAACGAUGAAUGCUAAGUGUUGGAGGGUUUCCGCCCUUCAGUGCUGCAGCUAACGCAUUAAGCAUUCCGCCUGGGGAGUACGGCCGCAAGGCUGAAACUCAAAGGAAUUGACGGGGGCCCGCACAAGCGGUGGAGCAUGUGGUUUAAUUCGAAGCUACGCGAAGAACCUUACCAGGUCUUGACAUACUAUGCAAAUCUAAGAGAUUAGACGUUCCCUUCGGGGACAUGGAUACAGGUGGUGCAUGGUUGUCGUCAGCUCGUGUCGUGAGAUGUUGGGUUAAGUCCCGCAACGAGCGCAACCCUUAUUAUCAGUUGCCAGCAUUAAGUUGGGCACUCUGGUGAGACUGCCGGUGACAAACCGGAGGAAGGUGGGGAUGACGUCAAAUCAUCAUGCCCCUUAUGACCUGGGCUACACACGUGCUACAAUGGAUGGUACAACGAGUUGCGAACUCGCGAGAGUAAGCUAAUCUCUUAAAGCCAUUCUCAGUUCGGAUUGUAGGCUGCAACUCGCCUACAUGAAGUCGGAAUCGCUAGUAAUCGCGGAUCAGCAUGCCGCGGUGAAUACGUUCCCGGGCCUUGUACACACCGCCCGUCACACCAUGAGAGUUUGUAACACCCAAAGUCGGUGGGGUAACCUUUUAGGAACCAGCCGCCUAAGGUGACAGUGGG